Molecule: ribosomal RNA, 586 nt
Filed under: uncultured bacterium
Lineage: Bacteria
Description: partial 16S ribosomal RNA
Rfam family: Bacterial small subunit ribosomal RNA
Source: RNAcentral
UGGGGAAUUUUGGACAAUGGGCGAAAGCCUGAUCCAGCAAUGCCGCGUGUGUGAAGAAGGCCUUCGGGUUGUAAAGCACUUUUGUCCGGAAAGAAAUCCUUGGCUCUAAUACAGUCGGGGGAUGACGGUACCGGAAGAAUAAGCACCGGCUAACUACGUGCCAGCAGCCGCGGUAAUACGUAGGGUGCAAGCGUUAAUCGGAAUUACUGGGCGUAAAGCGUGCGCAGGGCGGUUUGCUAAGACCGAUGUGAAAUCCCCGGGCUCAACCUGGGAACUGCAUUGGUGACUGGCAGGCUAGAGUAUGGCAGAGGGGGGUAGAAUUCCACGUGUAGCAGUGAAAUGCGUAGAGAUGUGGAGGAAUACCGAUGGCGAAGGCAGCCCCCUGGGCCAAUACUGACGCUCAUGCACGAAAGCGUGGGGAGCAAACAGGAUUAGAUACCCUGGUAGUCCACGCCCUAAACGAUGUCAACUAGUUGUUGGGGAUUCAUUUCCUUAGUAACGUAGCUAACGCGUGAAGUUGACCGCCUGGGGAGUACGGUCGCAAGAUUAAAACUCAAAUGAAUUGACGGGGUCAUAGCUGUUUCCU